Long non-coding RNA from Homo sapiens (human), 1280 nucleotides. Ensembl annotates it as long intergenic non-protein coding RNA 2347. Lineage: Eukaryota; Metazoa; Chordata; Mammalia; Primates; Hominidae. The record is from Ensembl.
AGAGUAUUUGUUUUUAAUUUCUAUGGAUCUGCUUAUACUUCUCUUUUGCAAAUUGAAACACCGUGGAAGAUUUUUUGGAACUUAGGUUGAGAGUUGUACAUGGCUUCAGAGUUGCUGUGGAUUUCUAUCUCCAUGGGGCCAUCUGUCUCAUCUGUCUAUAUAAUGGUCAUGCACUUUGCAGAGCCUGCUUCAAUGUCUGCUAUACUAUGGCCACUCUGCCAGUGUUGUUGACAAACAGAUGGGUUUUGAUGGCAGAGAAACUUAUAUUUAGCAAGUCUUCCUUUUGCCCUUGAACUUUUCCACCUGUUGUUUGCACCAGCAACUCCCAUGGCAAAUGUGAAAAAGCAAAAAAUAAGGAAUAUUACAAGAUGGGACUAACAUUAAAAUGUAUGUUUUCAUCAAACAUGAUCAAGAACCUACCGAUGAUUGAAGAUUGAUUCUGAGUAAUCAGCACAGAUUUCUAAAAGAAACUUUAUGGGAUGCUGAGACAUGAAUAAAAACAACUUUAUUCCUUUGGAAAGGACAACCCACAUGCUAAGAAGAUGACACUACACGUUGUUAUAGCCCGAAAGGCCCUCUUUCCACAGGGGAGCAGUGAAAAGUAGAGGUUGCCCAUGUGGAUUCCCAAGUCAGAUAGAUGUGGAUUCAGAUCCCAGCUCUGCUGCUUGCUACCCAAGAGACCAUGGACUGUGGACUCUUUAGGUCUCAGGGUUUUUGUUUGUUGUCUGUUUUUCACUUCCAAAACCAGAAAAUGAGAAGAUAUUUUCCAUAAGAUGGCGGUGGAGAAGAGAACUUGAUGGACCUUGCUUGGACAAAAUGCCUUCACCGCUAACUCAGUCAGCUAUGGCGAUGGGUCAAGGACCUGGUGGUUUUACAGAGAAGACCCUUGGUCAAAUCUUUGUGAAUGAAGCAACCAUUCUGAUGUUCAAUAACAGGAAUGCACCAGUUUAUACCAAACUAUCUGUACUAUUGAGAACAGCAAAAAUAUCUGACCAAAAACACCAAAGAGUGACAUUUUAAAAGACAUCAAAGAACUCUCAAGGCUUCCAGAGUUGGAAAGAUCAAGAAAGAGAGAAUGCAACUUCAUUAAGUGACUCAACUCCAAAUAGGAGCAUUUCAAGAGUAUGUAUUUCAACAAAGAAGUAUUAGAAGAUGACAGUGUCCUUGCAGUAUCUUUUAGGGGCUAUCAGAACAUGAUUUCUGCUAUAUUCUAUCAUCGGAGCCUUAAUAAUGUUAACUAUAAUUCAAGGGAAGAUCAAAUAAACUUCACCUUUCAAGGA